CCUACGGGCGGCAGCAGUGAGGAAUAUUGGUCAAUGGACGAGAGUCUGAACCAGCCAAGUAGCGUGAAGGAUGACUGCCCUAUGGGUUGUAAACUUCUUUUAUAAAGGAAUAAAACGAGGCACGUGUGCCUCUUUGCAUGUACUUUAUGAAUAAGGAUCGGCUAACUCCGUGCCAGCAGCCGCGGUAAUACGGAGGAUCCGAGCGUUAUCCGGAUUUAUUGGGUUUAAAGGGAGCGUAGAUGGGUUGUUAAGUCAGUUGUGAAAGUUUGCGGCUCAACCGUAAAAUUGCAAUUGAUACUGGCAGUCUUGAGUACAGUUGAGGUAAGCGGAAUUCGUGGUGUAGCGGUGAAAUGCUUAGAUAUCACGAAGAACCCCGAUUGCGAAGGCAGCUUACUAAACUGUGACUGACAUUGAUGCUCGAAAGUGUGGGUAUCAAACAGGAUUAGAUACCCGGGUAGUC
RNAcentral lists this ribosomal RNA (460 nucleotides) under uncultured bacterium. Its description in RNAcentral is "partial 16S ribosomal RNA". It matches the Rfam family "Bacterial small subunit ribosomal RNA", at positions 338 to 795 of the family's 1533-position model. The record is from RNAcentral.